RNAcentral lists this ribosomal RNA (200 nucleotides) under uncultured bacterium. Its description in RNAcentral is "partial 16S ribosomal RNA". It matches the Rfam family "Bacterial small subunit ribosomal RNA", at positions 30 to 232 of the family's 1533-position model. The record is from RNAcentral.
AUUGAACGCUGGCGGAAUGCUUUACACAUGCAAGUCGAGCGGCAGCGCGGGGCAACCUGGCGGCGAGCGGCGAACGGGUGAGUAAUGUAUCGGAACGUGUCCUGUAGUGGGGGAUAGCCCGGCGAAAGCCGGAUUAAUACCGCAUACGAUCUAUGGAUGAAAGCAGGGGAUCGCAAGACCUUGCGCUAUAGGAGCGGCCG